GUGGGGAAUAUUGGACAAUGGGCGAAAGCCUGAUCCAGCCAUGCCGCGUGAGUGAUGAAGGCCUUAGGGUUGUAAAGCUCUUUCAGUAGGGAAGAUAAUGACGGUACCUACAGAAGAAGCCCCGGCUAACUUCGUGCCAGCAGCCGCGGUAAUACGAAGGGGGCUAGCGUUGUUCGGAUUUACUGGGCGUAAAGCGCACGUAGGCGGAUUGGUCAGUUAGAGGUGAAAGCCUGGAGCUCAACUCCAGAACUGCCUUUAAUACUGCCAGUCUAGAGUCCAGAAGAGGUGAGUGGAACUCCUAGUGUAGAGGUGGAAUUCGUAGAUAUUAGGAAGAACACCAGUGGCGAAGGCGGCUCACUGGUCUGGUACUGACGCUGAGGUGCGAAAGCGUGGGGAGCAAACAGGAUUAGAAACCCUGGUAGUCC
Molecule: ribosomal RNA, 425 nt
Filed under: uncultured bacterium
Lineage: Bacteria
Description: bacterial SSU rRNA
Rfam family: Bacterial small subunit ribosomal RNA
Source: RNAcentral